GACGAACGCUGGCGGUGUGCUUAACACAUGCAAGUGGUGCGACGAACCAGAGCUUGCUCUGGGGCAAAGCCGCGAACGGGUGAGUAACACGUGGGUAAUCUACCCCGAUGACCGGGACAACCCGAGGAAACUCGGGCUAAUACCGGAUGUGGUGCGGAGACAUAAGUCUCUUCACUAAAGGUAGCUUCGGCUUCCGCAUUGGGAGGGGCCCGCGGCCCAUUAGCUUGUUGGUGGGGUCAAGGCCUACCAAGGCAACGAUGGGUAGCUGGUCUGAGGGGACGAUCAGCCACACUGGGACUGAGACACGGCCCAGACUCCUACGGGAGGCAGCAGUGGGGAAUCUUGCGCAAUGCGCGAAAGCGUGACGCAGCAACACCGCGUGAGGGAAGAAGGCCUUAGGGUUGUAAACCUCUUUCAGAUGGGACGAAGGUUCUCCGGUGAAUAGCCGAGAGGAUUGACGGUACCGGCAGAAGAAGCUCCGGCUAACUACGUG
RNAcentral lists this ribosomal RNA (493 nucleotides) under uncultured bacterium. RNAcentral's name for it is "partial 16S ribosomal RNA". It matches the Rfam family "Bacterial small subunit ribosomal RNA", at positions 28 to 507 of the family's 1533-position model. The record is from RNAcentral.